RNAcentral lists this ribosomal RNA (518 nucleotides) under Lactiplantibacillus plantarum. Its description in RNAcentral is "bacterial SSU rRNA". It matches the Rfam family "Bacterial small subunit ribosomal RNA", at positions 8 to 490 of the family's 1533-position model. Lineage: Bacteria; Bacillati; Bacillota; Bacilli; Lactobacillales; Lactobacillaceae. The record is from RNAcentral.
AGAGUUUGAUCCUGGCUCAGGACGAACGCUGGCGGCGUGCCUAAUACAUGCAAGUCGAACGAACUCUGGUAUUGAUUGGUGCUUGCAUCAUGAUUUACAUUUGAGUGAGUGGCGAACUGGUGAGUAACACGUGGGAAACCUGCCCAGAAGCGGGGGAUAACACCUGGAAACAGAUGCUAAUACCGCAUAACAACUUGGACCGCAUGGUCCGAGUUUGAAAGAUGGCUUCGGCUAUCACUUUUGGAUGGUCCCGCGGCGUAUUAGCUAGAUGGUGAGGUAACGGCUCACCAUGGCAAUGAUACGUAGCCGACCUGAGAGGGUAAUCGGCCACAUUGGGACUGAGACACGGCCCAAACUCCCACGGGAGGCAGCAGUAGGGAAUCUUCCACAAUGGACGAAAGUCUGAUGGAGCAACGCCGCGUGAGUGAAGAAGGGUUUCGGCUCGUAAAACUCUGUUGUUAAAGAAGAACAUAUACUGAGAGUAACUGUUCAGGUAUUGACGGUAUUUAACCAGAAAG